This 420-nucleotide ribosomal RNA is filed under the name Fusobacteriota bacterium. Its description in RNAcentral is "Fusobacteria bacterium partial 16S ribosomal RNA". It matches the Rfam family "Bacterial small subunit ribosomal RNA", at positions 355 to 776 of the family's 1533-position model. The record is from RNAcentral. Lineage: Bacteria; Fusobacteriati; Fusobacteriota.
UGGGGGAUAUUGCACAAUGGGCGAAAGCCUGAUGCAGCGACGCCGCGUGGGGGAUGAAGGCCUUCGGGUUGUAAACUUCUUUUGCUCUGAACAAGGCAUGCCUUUGGUGUGUGUUGAGUGUAGGGGUUGAUUAGCGCCGGCUAACUACGUGCCAGCAGCCGCGGUAAUACGUAGGGCGCGAGUGUUGUCCGGAAUUAUUGGGCGUAAAGGGCUUGUAGGUGGCUGGUUGCGUCUGUCGUGAAAGCUCAUGGCUUAACUGUUGGUUUGCGGUGGGUACGGGCUGGCUUGAGUGCAGUAGGGGAAGGUGGAAUUCCUAGUGUAGCGGUGGAAUGCGCAGAUAACAGGAGGAAUACCGGUGGCGAAGGCAGGUCUCUGGGCUGUUACUGACGCUGAGGAGCGAAAGCGUGGGGAGCGAACAGG